GGUUAACUGAACACAACUUUUCUAUUCGUGGGUAUUCAUGCAGCUCUCAAAGAGCAGCAGUUCCCUCUGACCCGGAUUCAGCACGUGCUGCAGCGGCGCAGCCUCACAGCGCACAGUGCAGGCGCUCUUGUCAGGACCAGGCCUUUUUGCUAAAAACGCUCCUUCCUUUUAGGUUUUGAAAAAGUUCAGCUGCAGAGCUCCCACUAGAGAAGAGGGGGAGUAGAUGAAACUCUACUGUGGGGACUGCUCCGCUGGCCUGAACGACUGCAGCUGAUGUGAUGUGUUAUCAACGCCUCGACCCACCUCGCCGCUACAGGUCCAGAUACAGAUGAUGUCAGUCAGACGUCACUAAAUACUAAAUGUCAAGUUAAAUAAAGGUAGAAAGAAAAUGCAGCAGCAGCAGUCCUGGGAAUGGAUACACACCCACUGUGUGAAUAUGGGGUCAUUAUACAGCGGUAUUGUGACACACUGGUGGGUGCAUGGGACACCUGAGUCAUUUAUGUCAGGAGUGGGCCUGGCUUUACGAGGCAGCAAUUCAACCCAUCUUAAAACCAAUUAGAAACCAUUGAUUCAUUGAGAUAAAUAUGUGAUUUCAUUGUGAAAAUGGUGUAAUUACACAUUUAUAAAGGUUUAGGUUCAUACAUAAGUACCUCUCAGAAUUUCAAAAACACACAGAAUAGUAUAAAGCAAAUGGUCCGAAGCACUCAAUGGAACUACCUCAAGGUCCAGCCACUACAAUGGGAUCUGCCUCAAGGUCCAGCCACUACAAUCUACAAUAGUAACUGCCUCAAGGUCCAGCCACUGCAAAGGUAACUGCCUCAAGGUCCAGCCACUACAAUGGUAACUGCCUCAAGGUCCAGCCAUUACAAUGGUAAGUGCCUCAAGAUCCAUCCACUACAAUGGUAACUGCCUCAAGGUCCAGCCACUACAAUGGUAACUGCCUCAAGGUCCAGCCACUACAAUGGUAACUGCCACAAGGUCCAGCCACUACAAUGGGAUCUGCCUCAAGGUCCAGCCACUACAAUCUACAAUAGUAACUGCCUCAAGGUCCAGCCACUGCAAAGGUAACUGCCUCAAGGUCCAGCCACUAUAAUGGUAACUGCCUCAAGGUCCAGCCACUUCAAUGGUAACUGCCUCAAGGUCCAGCCACUUCAAUGGUAACUGCCUCAAGGUCCAGCCACUUCAAUGGUAACUGCCUCAAGGUCCAGCCACUACAACGGUAGCUGCCUCAAGGUCCAGCCACUACAAUGGUAUGAGUGUUUUUACUGAGCUAAUGACGUCAGUGUUUGUUCUGGUCUAAUGAUAUUAGUGUUUGUUCUAGUCUAAUGAUAUCAGUGUUUGUACUGAGCUAAUGAUAUCAGUGUUUGUACUGGUCUAAUGAUAUCAGUGUUUGUACUGGGCUAAUGAUAUCAGUGUUUGUACUGGGCUAAUGAUAUCAGUGUUUGUUUGGGCUAAUGAUAUCAGUGUUUGUACUGGGCGAGUGAUGUCAGUUUUUUUCGCUCUCAAAUGUCACACUUACACAAUCUCGUCCUCUAACAUUUCCGGUGAGGUCCACAGUGUUGACAGACCAUUCUGUUCGAAUAGACUCUCAAUGUGUAAGACGUUUUUAUUUUAUUUUAAUGUAUAGAACAUAGCCAUUGUUUUUCUACACAGAACAUAGCCAUUGUUUUUAUAUACAGAACAUAGCCAUUGUUUUUAUGUACAGAACAUAGGCUUUGUUUUUAUGUACAGAACGUAGGCAUUGUUUUUAUGUACAGAACAUAGCCAUUGUUUUUAUGUACAGAAAGAACAUAGGCAUUGUUUUUAUGUACAGAAAAUAGCCAUUGUUUUUAUGUACAGAACAUAGCCAUUGUUUUUAUGUACAGAACAUAGCCAUUGUUUUUAUGUACAGAACAUAGCCAUUGGACAUCCUCUGCAGGAUUUCAGUUUGGUCAGACCUGCUUGUUGUAUAAUGGUGCCAUCUACUGGGCAUGACAUAGUUACAUGUUACUUUCAUGAAAAUGGCUAUAACAACUGUCUUACAAUACUAAUAAAAGUC
RNAcentral lists this long non-coding RNA (2038 nucleotides) under Salmo salar (Atlantic salmon). Its description in RNAcentral is "lncRNA (ENSSSAG00000097092.1)". The record is from RNAcentral. Lineage: Eukaryota; Metazoa; Chordata; Actinopteri; Salmoniformes; Salmonidae.